Triticum aestivum (bread wheat) is the source of this 145-nucleotide non-coding RNA. Lineage: Eukaryota; Viridiplantae; Streptophyta; Magnoliopsida; Poales; Poaceae. The record is from Rfam.
CAACUACUCCCUCUGUCCCAAAUUUCUUGUCUUAGAUUUGUCUAGAUACGGCUAGAUACGGAUGUAUCUAAUACUAAAAUGUGACUUGAUACAUCCGUGUCUAGACAAAUCUAAGACAAGAAUUUUGGGACAGAGGGAGUACUUG